GGCGAGGUAGCAAAGCGGUUAUGCAGCGGCCUGCAAAGCCGUGUAGAUGGGUUCGACUCCCAUCCUCGCCUCCA
This 74-nucleotide transfer RNA is filed under the name Massilia sp. Root335. RNAcentral describes it as "tRNA-Cys". It matches the Rfam family "tRNA". Rfam says of the family: Transfer RNA (tRNA) molecules are approximately 80 nucleotides in length. Their secondary structure includes four short double-helical elements and three loops (D, anti-codon, and T loops). Lineage: Bacteria; Pseudomonadati; Pseudomonadota; Betaproteobacteria; Burkholderiales; Oxalobacteraceae. The record is from RNAcentral. RNAcentral also lists the same sequence under 6 other names.